GAUGAACGCUGGCGGCGUGCUUAACACAUGCAAGUCGAACGGUGAAGCAGAGCUUGCUCUGUGGAUCAGUGGCGAACGGGUGAGUAACACGUGAGCAACCUGCCCCUGACUCUGGGAUAAGCGCUGGAAACGGCGUCUAAUACUGGAUAUGAGCUGCGACCGCAUGGUCAGCAGUUGGAAAGAUUUUUCGGUCUGGGAUGGGCUCACGGCCUAUCAGCUUGUUGGUGAGGUAAUGGCUCACCAAGGCGUCGACGGGUAGCCGGCCUGAGAGGGUGACCGGCCACACUGGGACUGAGACACGGCCCAGACUCCUACGGGAGGCAGCAGUGGGGAAUAUUGCACAAUGGGCGAAAGCCUGAUGCAGCAACGCCGCGUGAGGGAUGACGGCCUUCGGGUUGUAAACCUCUUUUAGCAGGGAGGAAGCGAAAGUGACGGUACCUGCAGAAAAAGCGCCGGCUAACUACGUG
This 467-nucleotide ribosomal RNA is filed under the name uncultured bacterium. RNAcentral describes it as "partial 16S ribosomal RNA". It matches the Rfam family "Bacterial small subunit ribosomal RNA", at positions 28 to 507 of the family's 1533-position model. The record is from RNAcentral.